RNAcentral lists this ribosomal RNA (253 nucleotides) under uncultured bacterium. RNAcentral's name for it is "partial 16S ribosomal RNA". It matches the Rfam family "Bacterial small subunit ribosomal RNA", at positions 524 to 776 of the family's 1533-position model. The record is from RNAcentral.
UACAGAGGUCUCAAGCGUUGUUCGGAUUCAUUGGGCGUCAAGGGUGUGUAGGUGGCGCCGUAAGUGGGGUGUGAAAUCUCGGGGCUUAACUCCGAAACUGCAUUCCAUACUGCGGUGCUUGAGGACUGGAGAGGAGACUGGAAUUCAUGGUGUAGCAGUGAAAUGCGUAGAGAUCAUGAGGAAGACCAGUGGCGAAGGCGGGUCUCUGGACAGUUCCUGACACUGAGACACGAAGGCCAGGGGAGCAAACGGG